Molecule: ribosomal RNA, 465 nt
Filed under: uncultured bacterium
Lineage: Bacteria
Description: partial 16S ribosomal RNA
Rfam family: Bacterial small subunit ribosomal RNA
Source: RNAcentral
GACGAACGCUGGCGGCGUGCUUAACACAUGCAAGUCGAACGGUCAACUCCGCUUCCGGGUGGAUCAGUGUCGAACGGGUGAGUAACACUUAGGCAACCUUCCCUCAGCUCUGGGAUAACUCCAAGAACUUGGGGCUAAUACCGGUUCUGACCGCUGUCCUCAUGGUCUUGUGGUGGUAAGAUUUAUCGGCUGGGGUUUGGCGCGCGGACUAUCAGCUUGUUGGUGGGGUAGUUGCAUACCAAGGCGAAGACGGGUAGCCGGCCUGAGAGGGUGACCGGCCACAAUGCGACUGAGAGAGGGACCAGACUCCUACGGGAGGCAACGGGGGGAAGUAUGGCGGAAUGGGCGAGAGCCUGACGCGGCGACGCCGCGUGGGGGAUGACGGGCUUCGGGUUGUAAACAACUUUCAGCAGGAACGAAGAGAAAGUGACGGUACCUGAAGAAGAAGCACCGGCCAACUACGUG